UGCAAGUCGAACGCUCGUACCAAUACGGGAGUGGCAGACGGGUGAGUAACGCGUGGGAACAUACCCUCCGGUUCGGAAUAGCUCAGGGAAACUUGGAUUAAUACCGGAUACGGCUGAGAGGCGAAAGAUUUAUCGCCGGAGGAUUGGCCCGCGUUCGAUUAGCUUGUUGGUGAGGUAACGGCUCACCAAGGCGAUGAUCGAUAGCUGGUCUGAGAGGAUGAUCAGCCACAUUGGGACUGAGACACGGCCCAAACUCCUACGGGAGGCAGCAGUGGGGAAUAUUGGACAAUGGGCGCAAGCCUGAUCCAGCCAUGCCGCGUGAGUGAUGACGGCCUUAGGGUUGUAAAGCUCUUUCGCUCGGGACGAUAAUGACGGUACCGAGAUAAGAAGCCCCGGCUAACUUCGUGCCAGCAGCCGCGGUAAUACGAAGGGGGCUAGCGUUGUUCGGAAUUACUGGGCGUAAAGCGCGUGUAGGCGGGUCUUUAAGUCAGGGGUGAAAUGCCAAGGCUCAACCUUGGAACUGCCUUUGACACUGGAGAUCUUGAGUCCGAGAGAGGUGAGUGGAAUUGCGAGUGUAGAGGUGAAAUUCGUAGAUAUUCGCAAGAACACCAGUGGCGAAGGCGGCUCACUGGCUCGGAACUGACGCUGAGACGCGAAAGCGUGGGGAGCAAACAGGAUUAGAUACCCUGGUAGUCCACGCUGUAAACGAUGGAUGCUA
RNAcentral lists this ribosomal RNA (718 nucleotides) under metal-contaminated soil clone K20-34. Its description in RNAcentral is "bacterial SSU rRNA". It matches the Rfam family "Bacterial small subunit ribosomal RNA", at positions 56 to 818 of the family's 1533-position model. The record is from RNAcentral. Lineage: Bacteria; Pseudomonadati; Pseudomonadota; Alphaproteobacteria.